RNAcentral lists this long non-coding RNA (1350 nucleotides) under Calidris pygmaea (Spoon-billed sandpiper). RNAcentral's name for it is "lncRNA (ENSCPGG00000003270.1)". Lineage: Eukaryota; Metazoa; Chordata; Aves; Charadriiformes; Scolopacidae. The record is from RNAcentral.
AAGAAAAGUGGCAUUAAACCCAACUCUGGCAAGGAGAAAAAUCAAAUGGAAAAUACGCAUUUUUAAUAUGCCACUGGGGCAUCCCAGGCCUCCUCGCUGUGCUCUGGGAUCCACCACAUGGCAAAGGCUUCUGCAGAGACUCCUCCAGAAAUCAAACCAUUCCAAGUGAGGGGGGUGACGUGGCUUCUGGCCCCGGGCGAGGCGUUACCUCCCCAUCUUUCCUCGGCCGAGCCGUCCGUGGGGUACCGCUCGGCUGUAGGUCAGCAGGGUGGGGGAAUCACGUAUAUUUUGUGCCCUUGGAGGAAUGCUUGUUUGUAGCUGGGCACCCAUUGCCUGCCACCCCUGGACAAAGCAUCCCACAUUCACAUGGAACAUUUGACUUCAGUGGCAGUGGAAUCUGGGCCCUGGAGAGGACUUCAGUACCCUGUAUCUGCAGGACUGUUGUUAAAUACUCAACUCUUGCCUGGAUUUUACUGCUCUGUGCAAUGCAGGCAUCCAGAAAUGAGUGGUGCUGAUGCUGUGGGUUGAGCUCAGGUCCUGUAGCCUUUCCCAUCUCCAUGUCAGAGGAGUUGUACUGCUCUGUCUCAGCCUGCCACCCACCCUCCAGCCUGGGUGCAAGGCAGAGCCUCUCCUUGUCCCCCAUUAAAACCAACCCUGACCUCAGUAAAAUCAAAUGCCAGUGCUGUGGGGUGGUCAGGGCAGCUUUGUCCUUGUCCUCAGGGACAGAUUCAUUUUCUCCCUCGCAAUACCUUGGCUUUUCUUUUUCUUAAAGGAUUGAGAACCCAAGCUGGCUCACCUUGCUUCUGAAGGAGCAAGGAGCUGAGGAAGGGCCCUGGGUGAGAAACCGAUGGCUGCAGCCGCGCUAGUUGCCUGGAAAGAGGUGAGGAGAGAAGACGGGUCGUGCCCGGAGGUGAUGUCUCCUCAUGGCAGCCCUGGCACAGCAGGCAGCGAGCCUGGGGAGCCCAAACCAUGCCUGCACCGUGGUGCCCUGGCACCCAGCUGAGCGGCCACCGCCCCCCCCGGCUUCUCUGAGGGUGUAAAAAAAGAGGUGGCCUUAAGGCUGUGGCAUGAAAAAUCCCUGGUACUUCACAAACCGUGCGUGUUAUGUUGUUUUUCUAGGUUAGCUAAAUUUCCCCCCUCCGUUUCAGAUGGAAGUGAAACUCUUACUUGCUGCUGAAACUGAGAGGGGGGGAGAGGCGGGGGGAUAAUUUUGCAUGGCAGCGUUCUCGAACGGGUUACUCGAUCAAGAAGUAACUGCAACUCACAGGUUUCCAGUUGCUCCCCUAACCGCCCUCUGGCCUGUACCACGAAAGAAAUAAACACAUUCAACUUUUUUUUUUUUUUUUUUUC